AGAGUUUGAUCCUAGCUCAGGAUGAACGUUGGCGGCGUGGAUAAGGCAUGCAAGUCGAACGCACCGAUCCAGUGCUUGCACUGGUAAAGUGAGUGGCAGACGAGUCAGUAGAACCUUGGUAACCUACCCCAAAGUCUUGGAUAACCUGUGGAAACAUAGGCUAAUACAAGAUGGUCUGCAUAAUCUAAGGAUUAUGUUGUAAAGCUUCGGUGCUUUGGGAGGGGCCUAGGACGUAUCAGCUUGUUGGUGAGGUAAUGGCUCACCAAGGCUACGACGCGUAGGGGACCUGAGAGGGUGACCCCCGACGAUGGGACUGAGACACGGCCCAUACUCCUACGGGAGGCAGCAGCCGAGAAUCUUCCGCAAUGCGCAUAUUUGCGUGACGGAGCGACGCCGCGUGAAGGAUGAAGCCCUGUGGGGUGUAAACUUCUGUCGAAUGGGAGCAAUUCAAGAGAGAGUACCAUUCUAAUAGAGGCUGCUAACUUCGUGCCAGCAGCAGCGGUAAUACGAAGGCCUCGAACGUUAUCCGGAUUUAUUGGGCGUAAAGCGUCCGCAGGUGGAAUUGUAGGUUAUUGUUUAAAUCCUUGGGCUCAACCCAAGGCCUGGCGAUAAAACCCCAAUUCUAGAGCAUGUUAGAGGUAAGCGGAACUCAUGGUGUAGCAGUGAAAUGCGUUGAUAUCAUGGGGAACACCAAAGGCGAAGGCAGCUUACUGGGACAUUGCUGACACUCAGGGACGAAAGUAUAGGUAUCGAAGCGGAUUAGAUACCCGCGUAGUCUAUACCCUAAACGAUGAAUACUAGACAUUUCGAGUAUCGACCCUCGGAGUGUCGAAGCUAACGCGUUAAGUAUUCCGCCUGGGAAGUACGGCCGCAAGGCUAAAACUCAAAGGAAUAGACGGGAGCUCGCACAAGCGGUGGAGCAUGUGGUUUAAUUCGAUACUAAGCGGGGAACCUUACCAAGGCUAGAAACUCAACUGUGGGUCUUUGGAAACUUAGACUGUCUUCGAGAUCGUUGAGCAGGUGAUGCACGGUUGUCGUCAGCUCGUGCCGUGAGGUGUUCCGUUAAGUCGGGAAACGAGCGCAACCCUCAGAUUCAGUUACAAGUGUCUGUAUCGACUGCCUGGGUUAACCAGGAGGAAGGAGAGGAUGACGUCAAAUCAGCGUGUUCCUAGACGCCUUGGGCUACACACGUGCUACAAUGGGAAGGACAACGAGUUGCAAAAUCGCAAGAUCAAGCUAAUCUCUUAAACCUUUCCUCAGUUCGGAUAAAGGGCUGAAACUCGCCCUUUUGAAGCUGGAAUCGCUAGUAAUCGCAGAUCAGCCUCGCUGCGGUGAAUACGUUCUCGAGCUUUGUACUCACCGCCCGUCACGUCAAGGGAGCCGGUAAUACCCAAAGCAUGUUCAUUAAGGACAUACCACGGUAGGAUCGGUAACAGGGACGAAGUCGUAACAAGGCAUCCGUAGCGGAAGCUGUGGAUG
This 1479-nucleotide ribosomal RNA is filed under the name Parcubacteria group bacterium. RNAcentral's name for it is "bacterial SSU rRNA". It matches the Rfam family "Bacterial small subunit ribosomal RNA". The record is from RNAcentral.